Molecule: ribosomal RNA, 616 nt
Filed under: uncultured Russulales
Lineage: Eukaryota; Fungi; Basidiomycota; Agaricomycetes; Agaricales
Description: eukaryotic LSU rRNA
Rfam family: 5.8S ribosomal RNA (bases 255-408)
Source: RNAcentral
GAAGUAAAAGUCGUAACAAGGUUUCCGUAGGUGAACCUGCGGAAGGAUCAUUAUUGUAUAACAGAGGUGUUCUGGGCUGUCGCUGACCUACUUAGUAGGUCGUGCACGCCCGGAUCAUUCUCAUUUACAUGUCUACUUCACCCCUUGUGCAUCGCCGCGUGGGCCCUCUUGAAUCAUCAAAGGGGGCUUACGUUUUUACAAUGAACGUCGUAAUAGUGAAUGUCUUAUAUUUUGCGCUCAUACGCAAUCAAUACAACUUUCAACAACGGAUCUCUUGGCUCUCGCAUCGAUGAAGAACGCAGCGAAAUGCGAUACGUAAUGUGAAUUGCAGAAUUCAGUGAAUCAUCGAAUCUUUGAACGCACCUUGCACCCCUUGGCAUUCCGAGGGGUACACCCGUUUGAGUGUCGUGAAAUUCUCAACCUUCCCAAUUUUGGGAUGGCUUGGACUUUGGAGGUUCUUGCUGGCACCUGCAGCUUAGAAGAAGCCAGCUCCUCUUAAAUGAAUUAGUGGGGUUCUUUUAACCGACUCCUCGACGUGAUAAGGUUUUCUACGUCUGAGGUUUGGCUCCGAGACCCGCUUCUAAUCGCCUCUCUUUGAGAUGUGAUCCCCUGGACC